GUGAGUCAUCGAAUCUUUGAACGCAUAUUGCGCUCUUUGGUAUUCCGAAGAGCAUGCUUGUUUGAGUAUCAGUAAACACCUCAACCUCUCUUUUUGACAAAAAAAGGAGGGUGGACUUGAGCUAUCCCAACGACCUUCACCGGUAGGCGGGCGGCUUGAAAUGCAGGUGCAGCUGGACUUUUAUCUGAGCUAAAAGCAUAUCUAUUUAGUCCUCGUCAAACAGGAUUAUUACUUUUGCUGCAGCUAACAUAAAGGAUAAUUGUCCUCUUUGCUGACUGAUGCAGGAUUUUACGACACUUUAUGUGUUGUUCAACUCGAUCUCAAAUCAAGUAAGACUACCCGCUGAACUUAAGCAUAUCAAUAAGCGGAGGA
Molecule: unclassified non-coding RNA, 372 nt
Filed under: Mortierellaceae sp.
Lineage: Eukaryota; Fungi; Mortierellomycota; Mortierellomycetes; Mortierellales; Mortierellaceae
Description: partial contains 5.8S ribosomal RNA, internal transcribed spacer 2, and large subunit ribosomal RNA
Rfam family: 5.8S ribosomal RNA (bases 1-71)
Source: RNAcentral